UACGGAGGGUGCGAGCGUUGUCCGGAAUCACUGGGCGUAAAGGGCGCGUAGGCGGCGCGGGUAGUCAUCGGUGAAAGUUCAGGGCUCAACUCUGAAUCGGCCGGUGAUACUCCCGUGCUCGAGCACUGUAGAGGCAGGUGGGAAUUCCGGGUGUAGGCGGGUGGAAUGGCGUAGAGAUCCGGAAGAACACCGGUGGCGAAGGCGGCCGCUGGGCAUGGAGCUGGACGCUGAUGCGCGACAGCGAUGGGGAGCGAACAGG
Molecule: ribosomal RNA, 259 nt
Filed under: uncultured bacterium
Lineage: Bacteria
Description: partial 16S ribosomal RNA
Rfam family: Bacterial small subunit ribosomal RNA
Source: RNAcentral